Oncorhynchus tshawytscha (Chinook salmon) is the source of this 5123-nucleotide long non-coding RNA. The record is from Ensembl. NCBI's taxonomy places the organism in Eukaryota, Metazoa, Chordata, Actinopteri, Salmoniformes, Salmonidae.
CCUCACCAUGUCUCUCUCUCUCUCUCUCUUUCACACACACACAGACAGAGAGAGAGAGACACUGAAUACAACUGACUCCACACUUCACAAACAGAAUGUAUCAUGUGAGAUAAAUGGCAUGCGAACAAACUGGUAUCUGAUUGAUAUUUUAAGAGAGAAGCUUUCAUCUCCAGACAGAGCUGGUCUGACACAGAGAAAGACAGAGAUAGACAGUGACAGUGAUAUAGAUAUAGAGACACGGAAAGACGGAGAGAGACGACAGACAAAGUGAUCCAGAGAGACGACAAAGUGAUCCAGAGAGACGACAGAGAGUGAUCCAGAGAGACGACAGACAAAGUGAUCCAGAGAGACGACAGACAAAGUGAUCCAGAGAGACGACAGACAAAGUGAUCCAGAGAGACGACAGACAAAGUGAUCCAGUGAGCCGACAGAGAGUGAUCCAGAGAGACGACAGACAAAGUGAUCCAGAGAGACGACAGACAAAGUGAUCCAGAGAGACGACAGACAAAGUGAUCCAGAGAGACGACAGAGAGUGAUCCAGAGAGACGACAAUGUGAUCCAGAGAGACGACAGAGAGUGAUCCAGAGAGACGACAGAGAGUGAUCCAGAGAGACGACAGACAAAGUGAUCCAGAGACGACAGACAAAGUGAUCCAGUGAGACGACAGACAAAGUGAUCCAGAGAGACGACAGACAAAGUGAUCCAGAGAGACGACAGAGAGUGAUCCAGAGAGACGACAAAGUGAUCCAGAGAGACGACAGAGAGUGAUCCAGAGAGACGACAGAGAGUGAUCCAGAGAGACGACAGACAAAGUGAUCCAGAGACGACAGACAAAGUGAUCCAGUGAGACGACAGACAAAGUGAUCCAGAGAGAGGGUCAUAGAACAGAGUGACAGAAUAAGACACCAGCUGUUAUAUCUAACUGAAGAUUUAAUCACAACUGGAUCCGGCCUCUAUCACUAAUCCAGGCCCUUAGAAGUGACCCCAGCACAGGAGGUUGGUGCCACCUUAAUUGGGUAGGACUGUCUCUUGGUAACGGCAGGAGCGGAAUCAGUGGAAUGGUAUCAAACACAUCAAGGUGCAAAAUGAGAGUGAGAGAGAUAUUACAGGAUUAUGGGUACUAAGCCAGUCUACGUCAUGGAUUUUUGGCUACUUCUGGGCUACGGCACCCAAUAUCAUAAACUGAGCACUCCAGAUUGUUCACUUUGUCUGCUUUAUGUAGUCAGACAUUACCGCCACACUAAUACAUAGAAGAGGGGAGGGAAAAGAGGGCAAUAGUAAUGCAAAUCUGGUUCUGCUUAAGCCAGCUCUAUAGCCCUAUAUUCAAACAUGACAAUGACAGAGGAGUGGGCUAAAUCAGAAACACUAGCAUCCAGGCUAGGGAUAUGUUAACUAUUAGCAGAAACAGACUAGCAUCUAGGCUAGGGAUAUGCUAACUAUUAGCAGAAACAGACUGGCAUCCAGGCUAGGGAUAUGUUAACUAUUAGUAGAAACAGACUGGCAUCCAGGCUAGGGAUAUGCUAACUAUUAGCAGAAACAGAGUGGCAUACAGGCUAGGAAUAUGCUAACUAUUAGCAGAAACAGACUGGCAUCCAGGCUAGGGAUAUGCCAAAUAUUAGCAGAAACAGAGUGGCAUCCAGGCUAGGGAUAUGUUAACUAUUAGCAGAAACAGACUAGCAUCUAAGCUAGGGAUAUGCUAACUAUUAGCAGAAACAGAGUGGCAUACAGGCUAGGAAUAUGCUAACUAUUAGCAGAAACCGACUGGCAUCCAGGCUAGGGAUAUGCCAAAUAUUAGCAGAAACAGACUGGCAUCCAGGCUAGGGAUAUGCUAACUAUUAGCAGAAACAGACUAGCAUCUAGGCUAGGGAUAUGCUAACUAUUAGCAGAAACAGACUGGCAUCCAGGCUAGGGAUAUGCUAACUAUUAGCAGAAACAGACUGGCAUCUAGGCUAGGGAUAUGCUAACUAUUAGCAGAAACAGAGUGGCAUACAGGCUAGGGAUAUGUUAACUAUUAGCAGAAACAGACUAGCAUCUAAGCUAGGGAUAUGCUAACUAUUAGCAGAAACAGACUGGGAUACGGGCUAGGGAUAUGCUAACUAUUAGCAGAAACAGAGUGGCAUACAGGCUACGAAUAUGCUAACUAUUAGCAGAAACAGACUGGCAUCCAGGCUAGGGAUAUGCCAAAUAUUAGCAGAAACAGACUGGCAUCCAGGCUAGGGAUAUGCCAAAUAUUAGCAGAAACAGAGUGGCAUACAGGCUAGGGAUAUGUUAACUAUUAGCAGAAACAGAGUGGCAUACAGGCUAGGAAUAUGCUAACUAUUAGCAGAAACAGACUGGCAUCCAGGCUAGGGAUAUGCCAAAUAUUAGCAGAAACAGACUGGCAUCCAGGCUAGGGAUAUGCUAACUAUUAGCAGAAACAGAGUGGCAUACAGGCUAGGGAUAUGCUAACUAUUAGCAGAAACAGACUGGCAUCCAGGCUAGGGAUAUGCCAAAUAUUAGCAGAAACAGACUAGCAUCUAGGCUAGGGAUAUGCUAACUAUUAGCAGAAACAGACUGGCAUCCAGGCUAGGGAUAUGCUAACUAUUAGCAGAAACAGACUGGCAUCUAGGCUAGGGAUAUGCUAACUAUUAGCAGAAACAGAGUGGCAUACAGGCUAGGGAUAUGCUAACUAUUAGCAGAAACAGACUGGCAUCCAGGCUAGGGAUAUGCUAACUAUUAUCAGAAACAGAGUGGCAUACAGGCUAGGAAUAUGCUAACUAUUAGCAGAAACAGACUGGCAUCCAGGCUAGGGAUAUGCCAAAUAUUAGCAGAAACAGACUAGCAUCUAGGCUAGGGAUAUGCCAAAUAUUAGCAGAAACAGAGUGGCAUACAGGCUAGGGAUAUGCCAAAUAUUAGCAGAAACAGAGUGGCAUACAGGCUAGGAAUAUGCUAACUAUUAGCAGAAACAGACUAGCAUCUAGGCUAGGGAUAUGCUAACUAUUAGCAGAAACAGACUGGCAUCCAGGCUAGGGAUAUGCUAACUGUUAGCAGAAACAGACUGGCAUCUAGGCUAGGGAUAUGCUAACUAUUAGCAGAAACAGACUAGCAUCUAGGUUAGGGAUAUGCUAACUAUUAGCAGAAACAGACUGGCAUCUAGGCUAGGGAUAUGCUAACUAUUAGCAGAAACAGACUGGCAUCCAGGCUAGGGAUAUGCCAAAUAUUAGCAGAAACAGAGUGGCAUACAGGCUAGGGAUAUGCCAAAUAUUAGCAGAAACAGAGUGGCAUACAGGCUAGGAAUAUGCUAACUAUUAGCAGAAACAGACUGGCAUUCAGGCUAGGAACAUGCUAACUAUUAGUCAACCCUCAUCACAGCCUGUUUGAUGCUCUAGUGCAGGGGUAUUCAAUUCUGACCUUACGAGCUCUAGAACCUGCUGGUUUUCUGUUCUAGCCGAUAAUUAAUUGCACCCACCUCGUAUCCCAGGUCUAAAUCAGGCCCAGAUUAGAGAAGAACAAUGAAAAAACUCAGUGGAACUCAUUUCGAGGUGGAGAGUUGAGGGCUCGAAUGGUUUUUACAUUUAAUGGAAUACUUUGUCGGUCAAAAGAGUUGAGAAAGAGAGUCCUGUAUAGACCACACCAAGAGAGUCCUGUAUAGACUAGAGCUGACUCUCUCUCCUCUGCGUCAUGGAGGCUCUCUGCACUGCCAGAGCUGACUCUCUCUCCUCUGUGUCACGGAGGCUCUCUGCACUGCAAGAAGGGAUACAGGUCUGCACUGCCAGAGCUGACUCUCUCUCCUCUGUGUCACGGAGGCUCUCUGCACUGCAAGAAGGGAUACAGGUCUGCACUGCCAGAGCUGACUCUCUCUCCUCUGUGUCACAGAGGCUCUCCUCACUGCCAGAGCUGACUCUCUCUCCUCUGUGUCGCGGAGGCUCUCUGCACUGCCAGAGCUGACUCUCUCUCCUCUGUGUCACAGAGGCUCUCCUCACUGCCAGAGCUGACUCUCUCUCCUCUGUGUCACGGAGGCUCUCUGCACUGCCAGAGCUGACUCUCUCUCCUCUGUUCUCAUCCUCCUAGAUCUAUACACUGCCUUCGACACAUCAGGUCCUCCUCUCCACCCUCUCAGGGCUGGGCAUCUCAGGCGCUGCACACUCUUGGACUGCAUCCUACCUGGCAGGCCGCUCCUACCGUGACGUGGAGAGGAUCUGUGUCUGCACUACGUACUCUCACUACUGGUGUCCGCUGGUUCUAGUCUCUCUCCUCUUCCCUCUAUAUACCAAGUCAUAUCCUCACAUUGUCUCUCCUAUCAUUUCUGUGAGGAUGACAAUCAACUACUUUUCUCCUUCCCUCCUUCUGACACCCAGGUGGCGACACGCAUCUCUGCGUGCCUGGCAGAUAACUCAACUUGGAUGUCGGAACUACCGCAACUCGUUGUUGGCUGGGUUCUCCUCUUGUGCCAUCAAACCCCUGCAGCCCGCCUGGUUUUCAACCUUCCCAAGUUCUCCCAUGUCACCCCACUCCUCUGUACAACCACUGGCUUCCAGUCGAAGCUUGCAUCCACUACAAGACCAUGGUGCUUACUGACGGAACAGCAAGAGGAAUUGCCCCUCCCUACCGUCAGGCUAUGAUCAAACUCCACACCCCAACCCGAGCACUCUGUUCUGCCACCUCAGGUCUCUUGUCUGUGAUAUGUGGUUGUUCUACCUAGCUCUCUUAAGAUGAAUGCAUUAACUGUAAGUCGCUCUGGAUAAGAGAAUCUACUAAAGGACAAAAAAUGUCAAAUGUGGAAUGUUAAUUAAUGAGGGUGUUAUUACCAAAGAAGAGAACCCUGUCUCUGGUGUUCAGUGACAUUGGUUUUAAUACAUUUGGCCUUAACAUGGAGGACAUUUCAGGAAUAAUUAGGAACAGACUUGGUUCUGUUUUUGAUAUAGACAUGGAUUCUUUCUUGCCAACAAAUUUGGUGUAGUUAUUUUCAUAUCAAAGGUAUGUAAUCUCAUGUCCUUGCCAUUACAGCUUGUUGUAGGCUGCAAAACACAAGUGGUGUGUUUGUAAAGGCACAGAUAAUACGCCCAUGCCCUGACGACUGCUCAGAGCAUUGGAAUGUUGUUGCCAGUCAAAACAAAAACACUGGACUAGGCCUACCAAAAAUU